AUGUACAUUCCUACAUCAUAGUUUUAAUGCACUGUAUCCCAUUAGAAAUUCGUAGUUAAGCACUCUCAGGCUAGAGCAGUCCUGGGAUGGGUGACUGCCCGGGAAAUCCUAGUGUUUUACAUG
Picea glauca (white spruce) is the source of this 123-nucleotide non-coding RNA. NCBI's taxonomy places the organism in Eukaryota, Viridiplantae, Streptophyta, Pinopsida, Pinales, Pinaceae. The record is from Rfam.